This is a long non-coding RNA of Strongylocentrotus purpuratus (purple sea urchin), 281 nucleotides long. RefSeq lists it as uncharacterized. The record is from RefSeq and is a predicted model, not a curated record. Lineage: Eukaryota; Metazoa; Echinodermata; Echinoidea; Camarodonta; Strongylocentrotidae. The transcript is spliced from 4 exons.
CAGAAAACCUACUACAAGGUAGGACACCUAAUAUCGUUCAGAAACGGGAUCCCAAACGCUGUAGACAAUGUGACAAUAUAACCUGUAUGUUGCUUUGUAUGGAUAAAAGGAAUUACAAUCCAGCAGAAGAAAUCGGUUUUUCUGUACAAAAAAAGACACAAGAGGAGCUAGGAUGCGUAUUUGACGAGAUCUUGGAAGAAUUACCGGAAAAGGGAAAAGCUGAGUUAUUUGAUGUGAUAAUGCGAUGGGUUGACUACGACUGAAGAUAAGGUCUCCUAUUU